AUGUCGCUCUUCAGGGCUUCUACCACCAUCUCCUUGGGCAAUGGGAGAAAAUCCUUAUUCUGGCACGACGACUGGACAGGACGGGGCCCGCUGUCCUGGGCCUUCCCGGAGCUGUACGAAAUUGCCACCAGGAAGAGGAGAACUGUGAUGAAGGAGCUCCAUGAGGAGAACUGGAUCAGAUCGGCGGCCCGUCUUUCAUCGCCUACCCACCUGCAGGAGUUCAUUGCCCUCGCAUCAGCUAUCUCUCAGGUUGAGUUGAACCCGGACCAGGAGGACUCCAUCACUUGGCGGUGGACCCCCAAUGGCAUAUACUCUGCUGCUUCGGCCUACGCGGCCCAGUUCUCUGCAUCCUAUCCCAGGUUCUCCCCAGCCAAGAUUUGGGAGGCACACGCUGAGCCAAAAUGCAAGUUCUUUGCCUGGCUUGUGCUCCACGGUAAAAUCCUCACGGCCGACAUGCUAGCCGUUCGUGGCUGGCCGCACGACCCUCGCUGCCCCCUUUGCCUUGGGGCACCGGAGACGGCCACUCAUCACUGCAAGGACUGCCCGUUUGCCGCCGCAGUUUGGUCUCACGUCCAGGUGUGGACGGGAGAGGAUUCUGGGGCCACGCCCACGUUGCCCCCUUCGAUGGGGAUUUCGGACUGGUGGGAUUUGUUCACCACCAAUUUUCCCAAGGACGAUCGAGGAAGGCGGAGCGGCCACUUCCUUUACACCAUCUAG
This 717-nucleotide ribosomal RNA is filed under the name Triticum aestivum (bread wheat). RNAcentral describes it as "partial small subunit ribosomal RNA". Lineage: Eukaryota; Viridiplantae; Streptophyta; Magnoliopsida; Poales; Poaceae. The record is from RNAcentral.